GAUGAAGAACGUAGCGAAAUGCGAUAAGUAAUGUGAAUUGCAGAAUUCAGUGAAUCAUCGAAUCUUUGAACGCACAUUGCGCCCUCUGGUAUUCCGGGGGGCAUGCCUGUUCGAGCGUCAUUAUAACCACUCAAGCUCUCGCCUGGUAUUGGGGUUCGCGGUUCCGCGGCCCCUAAAAUCAGUGGCGGUGCCUGUCGGCUCUACGCGUAGUAAUACUCCUCGCGAUUGAGUCCGGUAGGUCUACUUGCCAGCAACCCCCAAUUUUUACAGGUUGACCUCGGAUCAGGUAGGGAUACCCGCUGAACUUAAGCAUAUCAAUAAGCGGAGGA
This 329-nucleotide unclassified non-coding RNA is filed under the name soil metagenome. RNAcentral's name for it is "partial contains 5.8S ribosomal RNA, internal transcribed spacer 2, and large subunit ribosomal RNA". The stretch from base 1 to 120 matches the Rfam family "5.8S ribosomal RNA", at positions 35 to 154 of the family's 154-position model. The record is from RNAcentral.